RNAcentral lists this ribosomal RNA (710 nucleotides) under Alexandrium tamiyavanichii. Its description in RNAcentral is "eukaryotic LSU rRNA". It matches the Rfam family "Eukaryotic large subunit ribosomal RNA", at positions 23 to 671 of the family's 3401-position model. The record is from RNAcentral. Lineage: Eukaryota; Dinophyceae; Gonyaulacales; Pyrocystaceae.
ACCCGCUGAAUUUAAGCAUAUAAGUAAGUGGUGGAAAUUAAACCAAAAGGGAUUCCUUUAGUAAUUGCGAAUGAACAAGGAUAUGCUUAGCUUGAUAAAUGGGGCCUCUGGCUUUGAAUUGUGUUUUUGAAAUGUAUUUCCAACAGAGGUGCAGGUGUUAGCAUAUUGGAAGAAAGCGUCAAUGAGGGUGAGAAUCCUUUUUGUCAUGUGCAGUCCUCUGUACACGGUGUAUGUUUGCUGAGUCACACUCCUUGGCAUUGGAAUGCAAAGUGGGUGGUAAGUUUCAUGUAAAGGUAAAUAUAUGAUUGAGACUGAUAGUGCACAAGUACCAUGAGGGAAAUAUGAAAAGGACUUUGAAAAGAGAAUUAAAUGAGUUUGUAUUUGCUGAACUGAAAGUAAACAGAUUUGAUUUUGAUGGGUGAGAUUGUGGUGCUUGCUUGACACUAUGGUGUGGUCUAAGUACAAUGAUUCUUGCUUUGUGUGCCAGCUUUUUACACAUUUGAACAUGCAUGCGCAUGAAUGGUAUUAUUCCUGUGGGGGGUUGGAUUGCAUGCGUGUAUAAGCAUUUGUGUGCUUGAAGCAUGUGUUUGGUGAUGUUGGUGUGUGCACAUAUUGUUCUUCAGGAUGUUUUCUUCCUGUGUCAACAAGCCUUAGCGCAGAUUUGCUGGUGAAAUGCUUCUGCUUGACCCGUCUUGAAACACGGACCAAGG